This 252-nucleotide ribosomal RNA is filed under the name uncultured bacterium. Its description in RNAcentral is "partial 16S ribosomal RNA". It matches the Rfam family "Bacterial small subunit ribosomal RNA", at positions 524 to 776 of the family's 1533-position model. The record is from RNAcentral.
UACGUAGGUCCCGAGCGUUGUCCGGAUUUAUUGGGCGUAAAGCGAGCGCAGGUGGUUUAUUAAGUCUGGUGUAAAAGGCAGUGGCUCAACCAUUGUAUGCAUUGGAAACUGGUAGACUUGAGUGCAGGAAAGGAGAGUGGAAUUCCAUGUGUAGCGGUGAAAUGCGUAGAUAUAUGGAGGAACACCGGUGGCAAAAGCGGCUCUCUGGCCUGUAACUGACACUGAGGCUCGAAAGCGUGGGGAGCAAACAGG